CCAGCCCAGUAUUCCCGCUCCCAUGGCGAAUUAAAAUGUGGCGUUAAAAACUCUUAGUGGGACUUGAGCCGGAACAGAGGUCCCCUCCCGGGGAGACUUUCUUGCGGGGGUUUCUCCUGGGGAUUUGGUGCUGGGGCCCCGGGAACCAGGACCUUUAUUUGAAAAAAAUUGAAUUUUCAAGCAGGCUCCGCACGCCGGAAAUUAUUAGCAUGGAAUAAUAAAAUGGACCUGCGGGUUUUAUUUUGUUGGUUUUUGGGAUCCCCGGUAAAGAUUAAUAGGGCCAGUUGGGGGCAUUAGUACUCCCAUGUUGAAGGUGAAAAUGUUGGAUUUUGGGAAGGCUAACUUCUGGGAAACGCGUUUGGCCAAGGAUGUUUUCAUUAAUCAAGAACGAAAGUUAGGGGAUCGAAAACGAUUAGAUACCGUUGUAGUUUUAACAGUAAACUAUGCUGANUAGGGAUCGGUCGAUGUUAUCUUUUUGACUCGAUCGGCUCCUUACGAGAAAUCAAAGUUUUUGGGUUGUGGGGGGAGUAUGGUCGCAAGCCUGAAACUUAAAGAAAUUGACGGAAGGGCACCACCAGGAGUGGAGCCUGCGGCUUAAUUUGAUUCAACGCGGGGAAACUCAUCAGGUCCUGACAUAGGAAGGAUGAACAGAAGGAUAGCUCUUUCUUGAUUAUAUGGGUGGCGGCGCAUGCCCUUUCUUAGUGGAGGGAGAGAUUUGUUUGGUUAAUUCAGAUAACGAGCGAGACCUUAACCUGAUAAAUAGCCCCAUUGACUAUGGUGGGGGGCUGGUUUUUUAGAGGGACUAUUGGUCUUCCACCCAAUGGAAGUUUGAGGCAAUAACAGGUCUGUGACGCCCUUAGAUGUUGUGGGCCGCGCGCGCGCUACACUGAGGGAGCCAACGAGUUUUUUCCUUGUCCGGAAGGAGGGGGUAAUCUUGUGAAACUUCGUCGUGCGGGGGAUAGAGCAUUACAAUUAUUGCUCUUCAACGAGGAAUUCCUAGUAAGCGUGAGUCAUCAGCUCGCGUUGAUUACGUCCCUGCCCUUUGUACACACCGCCCGUCGUUACUACCGAUUGAAUGGUUUAGUGACCCUUUGGGAUCGCACAGCUUGUCCCGACAACGGAUACACAGGCCGGUGAAAAUUUAGACAAACUGGGUCUUUUAGAGGAAGUAAAAUUUUAACAAAGGGAAUUUGCGGCCCGAAAUUAAUUCCCUAAGAUCUCUCAAAAA
Molecule: ribosomal RNA, 1228 nt
Filed under: uncultured eukaryote
Lineage: Eukaryota
Description: SSU rRNA
Rfam family: Eukaryotic small subunit ribosomal RNA
Source: RNAcentral